This is a ribosomal RNA of 405 nucleotides. It matches the Rfam family "Bacterial small subunit ribosomal RNA", at positions 355 to 774 of the family's 1533-position model.
UGGGGAAUAUUGCGCAAUGGGGGAAACCCUGGCGCAGCAACGCCGCGUGAAGGAUGAAGGCUCUCGGGUUGUAAACUUCUUUGAUUGGGGAAGAAAAAAAUGACGGUACCCAAAAAACAAGCCACGGCUAACUACGUGCCAGCAGCCGCGGUAAUACGUAGGUGGCAAGCGUUAUCCGGAAUUACUGGGUGUAAAGGGCGUGUAGGCGGGAUGUUAAGUCAGAUGUGAAAUUCCGAAGCUCAACUUCGGCGCUGCAUCUGAAACUAAUGUUCUUGAGUGAUGGAGAGGAAAGCGGAAUUCCUAGUGUAGCGGUGAAAUGCGUAGAUAUUAGGAGGAACACCAGUGGCGAAGGCGGCUUUCUGGACAUUAACUGACGCUGAGGCGCGAAAGCGUGGGGAGCAAACA